RNAcentral lists this transfer RNA (74 nucleotides) under Aeromonas phage PX29. Its description in RNAcentral is "tRNA-Lys". It matches the Rfam family "tRNA". Rfam says of the family: Transfer RNA (tRNA) molecules are approximately 80 nucleotides in length. Their secondary structure includes four short double-helical elements and three loops (D, anti-codon, and T loops). Lineage: Duplodnaviria; Heunggongvirae; Uroviricota; Caudoviricetes; Pantevenvirales; Straboviridae. The record is from RNAcentral.
CGGGGCGUAGCUCAGACGGAUAGAGCAAGUGCCUUCUUAGCACUCGGUCGCUGGUUCGAAUCCAGUCGCCUCGA